CGGGUGAGUGGCAGACGGGUGAGUAACGCGUGGGAACCUUCCCUGUGGUACGGAAUAGCUCCGGGAAACUGGAAUUAAUGCCGUAUACGCCCUUCGGGGGAAAGAUUUAUCGCCAUAGGAUGGGCCCGCGUCGGAUUAGCUUGUUGGUAGGGUAAUGGCCUACCAAGGCAACGAUCCGUAGCUGGUCUUAGAGGAUGAUCAGCCACACUGGGAUUGAGACACGGCCCAGACUCCUACGGGAGGCAGCAGUGGGGAAUAUUGGACAAUGGGCGAAAGCCUGAUCCAGCCAUGCCGCGUGAGUGACGAAGGCCUUAGGGUUGUAAAACUCUUUUGGCGGGGACGAUAAUGACGGUACCCGCAGAAUAAGCCCCGGCUAACUUCGUG
RNAcentral lists this ribosomal RNA (384 nucleotides) under uncultured bacterium. RNAcentral's name for it is "bacterial SSU rRNA". It matches the Rfam family "Bacterial small subunit ribosomal RNA", at positions 88 to 507 of the family's 1533-position model. The record is from RNAcentral.